This 369-nucleotide ribosomal RNA is filed under the name Gavia stellata (red-throated loon). RNAcentral's name for it is "12S ribosomal RNA". It matches the Rfam family "Bacterial small subunit ribosomal RNA", at positions 800 to 1361 of the family's 1533-position model. The record is from RNAcentral. Lineage: Eukaryota; Metazoa; Chordata; Aves; Gaviiformes; Gaviidae.
NNNUAAAUCUUGAUGCUUACCCUACUNAAGCAUCCGCCUGAGAACUACGAGCACAAACGCUUAAAACUCUAAGGACUUGGCGGUGCCCCAAACCCACCUAGAGGAGCCUGUUCUAUAAUCGAUAACCCACGAUACACCCAACCAUCCCUUGCCACAGCAGCCUACAUACCGCCGUCGCCAGCUCACCUCUACCUGAGAGCAUAGCAGUGAGCGCAAUAGCCCAACAGACAUCGCUAACAAGACAGGUCAAGGUAUAGCCCAUGGGACGGAAGAAAUGGGCUACAUUUUCUAGAAUAGAAAACACGAAAAGGGGUGUGAAACUACCCCUGGAAGGCGGAUUUAGCAGUAAAGCGGGACAAUAAAGCCCCC